RNAcentral lists this ribosomal RNA (428 nucleotides) under Acidobacteriota bacterium. RNAcentral describes it as "Acidobacteria bacterium partial 16S ribosomal RNA". It matches the Rfam family "Bacterial small subunit ribosomal RNA", at positions 355 to 776 of the family's 1533-position model. Lineage: Bacteria; Pseudomonadati; Acidobacteriota. The record is from RNAcentral.
UGGGGAAUCUUGCGCAAUGGGCGAAAGCCUGACGCAGCGACGCCGCGUGAGGGAAGAAGGCCUUCGGGUUGUAAACCUCUUUCAGCAGGGACGAAGCCCCUCGGGUUAAUAGCCCAGAGGGUGACGGUACCUGCAGAAGAAGCCCCGGCUAACUACGUGCCAGCAGCCGCGGUAAUACGUAGGGGGCAAGCGUUGUCCGGAUUUAUUGGGCGUAAAGAGCGUGUAGGCGGCCAGACAGGUCCGUUGUGAAAACUGGAGGCUUAACCUUCAGACGUCGAUGGAAACCGUUUGGCUAGAGUCCGGAAGAGGAGAGUGGAAUUCCUGGUGUAGCGGUGAAAUGCGCAGAUAUCAGGAAGAACACCCGUGGCUAAGGCGGCUCUCUAGUACGGUACUGACGCUGAGACGCGAAAGCGUGGGGAGCGAACAGG